Molecule: ribosomal RNA, 422 nt
Filed under: uncultured bacterium
Lineage: Bacteria
Description: bacterial SSU rRNA
Rfam family: Bacterial small subunit ribosomal RNA
Source: RNAcentral
UGGGGAAUAUUGCACAAUGGGGGAAACCCUGAUGCAGCGACGCCGCGUGAGUGAAGAAGUAUUUCGGUACGUAAAGCUCUAUCAGCAGGAAAGAAAUACUGACCUGGCGGUCAGCAGACGGUACCUGACUAAGAAGCCCCGGCUAACUACGUGCCAGCAGCCGCGGUAAUACGUAGGGGGCAAGCGUUAUCCGGAUUUACUGGGUGUAAAGGGAGCGUAGACGGCAGCGCAAGUCUGGAGUGAAAUGCCGGGGCCCAACCCCGGAACUGCUUUGGAAACUGUGCAGCUGGAGUGCGGGAGAGGUAAGCGGAAUUCCUAGUGUAGCGGUGAAAUGCGUAGAUAUUAGGAGGAACACCAGUGGCGAAGGCGGCUUACUGGACCGUAACUGACGUUGAGGCUCGAAAGCGUGGGGAGCAAACAGG